This 2766-nucleotide long non-coding RNA is filed under the name Sarcophilus harrisii (Tasmanian devil). Its description in RNAcentral is "lncRNA (ENSSHAG00000024413.1)". The record is from RNAcentral. Lineage: Eukaryota; Metazoa; Chordata; Mammalia; Dasyuromorphia; Dasyuridae.
UUCCCAAUGGCUUCAUUUGGCAGCGUGUUUUUGCCUUCUUGGCUGGUGACAAAAGUAUCAUGCAAAGUAUUUGCUACCAGUAGGACUGGUAGGUGGUGACCCUUAUUGUAUAAUGAGAAAAAUCUCUACAAAAGCAUGUUUUUAUUCCCUUUACAUCUUUUAUUUUUUUUUAAAGUAGCAUAGGCUAAACAUUGGUGUAAUCCUAAAAUAAUAAGAUGCUUUUGUUAGAUGAUCAACUGAAAUAGCUGGAAUACAUUACUUAGAAAUGGAUAGUUGUAAGAUACAAGUGUAACCCAUCCCUUCUUCCAUUUUCUCACCCCUUCUGCUUUACCCCUCUCUGAGAUACCCGUUGUCUCCCUCCUGAUGGCAUCCAUCCCCCAAAGGCUUUUCUUUCCUUUCCCUUCCGUUAGAAUUUGGUUGCAUUCAGUGGGUUUUGUAGGCUUUGCACUCUGAGCUUGCCAUUUUCACAUUUUUCCCGUUCCUGCGCUCCGACUGCCCGGGUGUUUUUCUCAGAGGUGCCGGCAGGACCAUCGGAGUGUUUGAGUACCAGAAGUGCCCGUUUUGGGUGGCAGGAGAUUGUUUAGCAAUGCAGUCAUCCUCUCUCUUAGAUCCAAAACUACCUCUGCAUUGUGACUGUCCCAUAACACAAGAACCACAGCCCCUUCGGAGUGCAAGCUCACAAUCCCCUCAGUGUUGGCCACGGGCUCCCUCGGCCAUUCGCCAAAAGGACCAGAGGAAGCAGAUCUUAAGGACCCUUUCUCUUUCUCAGUCUUCCUUCUUCCCUGUUUUGCUUGGGCUGUCCCACUGUAAAUGUUGUUUUUACCUAUGUUAAUGAUUUUGUCUUCCAUUUUCAAAGGAAAAAAAUUAAUUUGGUUGUUAAUUCAGUACCACUGUGUUUUGUUUUGUUUUUCUCCUAUAGGCCUGCCUCAUUAUUCAUAGGCUUUUUUUAUACUACAUCUAUCCUUCUUUGCUACAAUCUUAUAAACGCGAGCUCCUCGUACUAGCGAAUACUGCCUCACUCACCGGCUCUCUGUUUCAGUGACCAAGGGCGGAACUCCUUGUGGCCUUAUCUUUCUUUGUUUUAAACUGUUUACUGGCAUUCACUUGCAAACUGUUUACUUGUCUUUGCCCUCCUUAAUUUUUUUUCUCUUGUGGCUACAGUCAUUACACAGUGUUUUUGUUUGAAGCAUGUAAGUAUUUUCAGUACUAUUUUACUUAUAAUUGUCCACGAGUUUCCUUCACAUAAUAGGUUUGAUAUUCAAUUAUGUAAUUAUAUUGGAUUUACUCUGAUGCCAAUUACAACAGAUAAAUGUUACCAGUAUAUGAAACCACAGCUUUUUUCCUUUAAAACAAUACUUUUGAAAUUUGGGGGGAUCUUUUCCAAAUCCAUUUUUUCCCCCUUAGACAAUACAAAACUUUUCAUCUUUUGCCUUGUGUUUAAUUACCCUUUUUGGGUUUGUUUUAAAUGCCUUUUUUUUCCCCCUCAGAGCUUUGUUCAUUAGCAUAUUAUAUACAAUAUUCCUGGACUUUUAAAAUUUCCAAAAAUGUGUUUUUUCCCCACUUGUCUUUCUCAGCCUUUAAAUUAUGUGCUGGGGGAAAUGAGGGAAAAGAAAGAUAGGGAGGAUAUGGGAGUUUGUUGUAGCUUCUCUUUUGUCAACUUUUUUUCUUUAAUAUUUUCUUUAUUUAAAAAAACAAAAAACAAUUCCAUGGACUUCUGGCCCUCGGUUUUCUAUUCUUAUGAAACAUAUAUUCCAUAUCAGUACCCCUUUUAAACAUAACUUUCAGUUACUAAUAGGACUUAAAUGUUAAUUUUUGCUUCUUCCUGUGGUUGUUCUGGAGAGUUGGUCCUUUUUAGGAUAAAGCCUCUGUCACUAGAAUGGCAAAUGCCUUUGACAAACAUAAAUGGUAUAUUCAAAUAUGUAUUUUUCAGCACUAUUCCUUGUUAUAUACUUUUGUGCAGUUUCCCAAAACACACAUAGAAAUUUGAGCCCAUGUUCCCAAAAAGUUGCUAAUGGGUCAAUAGUGAACAUCGAACUUAGCACGUAAACUAAGAAAACCAGAACAAUGCUCGUGAAAGAGCUAUUAUUCCAAACAGUCUCAGAAUUGAACACUAGGAUGAUGUUGUGUUAACGCACCGCUGCUAACGUCUUAAUCCUUGGCCUCUGAAGUCUCAUUAAAUAAGUGAUGAGCUAUUUCACUUUGACUACACAGGAUCAUUUGAGAACCGCGAGUUGUUUUGUUUGUUUGUUUUUUUAAAUGAACCUGGUAUCAUCUGUUCUCACAUAGAGAAUUUCUCAUGUAAGUCUUGACGGAGGAAACCAGCUAACCAUUUAAAACCAAAUAAUGGCAGGAAGAGCGGGGCCCCCGGGGAGAGGUGGUCUUUCAUGAAACAAAAUAUCCAAUUAUUAACUGAGGUAUUUACUUUUUCUUUCAAAAGCAGCUGUUUCUGAUGAGUACUGAACAAAUGUGUGUAAUUUUCUGUACCAGAUUCUUUACUUUGUUUUCAAGCACUGUAAUGUGGGAUUGAGUGGCAGCUUUGUUAGAAAACAGUAAUAUAUUAGGGUUUAUAUUUAACCCUUGCAGGACUGAACUAUUUCUCUCUUCAUUCAUUUCAAUGUUGUAAUAAACAUUUGCCAGCAUUUAGUACUGUCGUGGUCCAGAUGUAAGUUACAUGCUCAUUUUUAGCUUAUUUCUUGUACCUUGCAGCAUGCUAUAUGCAUUCAGUCCUUAAGGGGUUAUAAUCUACAAACUGUGCACCUGUAAGGU